Molecule: long non-coding RNA, 3902 nt
Filed under: Mus caroli (Ryukyu mouse)
Lineage: Eukaryota; Metazoa; Chordata; Mammalia; Rodentia; Muridae
Description: lncRNA (MGP_CAROLIEiJ_G0013423.1)
Source: RNAcentral
GGCGGUGAACUUGAGCCAGCAGCGGUUAACCCGGCCCGGGGUUCUGGGCCUCAGCCGGCGCCAGCAGCUCCCUCAGGUGGGGCGCAAGCCUCUGCGCGCCGCCCUUCUCCGCUCCGCUCCUCCAACCCGCCCUUACCUAGGGCGGUGGCCCCGGAGACCCCCUUCCCAAGGGCGACGGCCUGGAGCCUGGAGUCUGUAGUAGUGGCGGGAGAUGGGGACGCGAGUCCCUAGACGCCGACAGUCUGUCUCUAAGGCGUUGCUGCGUGGCUUUGGUGCACAGAGCCUCUCCACCGCUGCAAGCACAGCGGGGAAGUGGAUGGAGAAGCAAAGACAGACAGACAGACAGACAGACAGACAGACAGACAGACAGACAAGCGGCGGCGGGGCUACCCUGAAACCCGAGCGUCUCCAAGCCCCCACCCCCAACCCCCGGGCAAGGCGCUGCAGAAGCCAGAUCCCCGACCAGAGGCGGUGAGGAUGGGCAGGGCAAAGAACGCGCGCGCCGCUCGCGGUUCGUCCGCGCGUGGCCUUCCUCUUGCCCCCCUGCACCUUCAAUUUACCUUAUGCAGGGCGCCCCGCGAGCUGCGGGCGGCGGCGCCGAGCCGAAGCGCAGAGGACAGGAGUUUGAGAGCCGCCAUCUUCGGCCCCGGGUGCGGGAGGAGGUGGCGCGCGCGGGAGUGCGUGCGAGUGCUGGUUGCCGGGAGCCGAAGCGGCGUCACCGGCUAAGAAGAGAGAAGGCAAGGCGAGCUGUGGGGCGGGAUGGAGGCUCGACCGCGCGUCAGUGACGUCCUCGGGACCUCAGAGCGGUGCCGCCCCUUGCUGCCUGCUGGCUUGUCAAGGAGCGAGACAGGGAGGGGCCCACGGCUAGGAAUGGAGAGGCUGCACAGCUAGGAUGAGCCCCGCGGGUUGUGCCGGGACCGGAGGUGCUGGGCUCCAGCUCGUCUGCCGGCACACCCGCAGCGGCGGGCGCUGCACUCAGGCUGGAGGGGGCGCUAGUGCCUGCCUUCCCCUCGCGCAAGGCUUGGCAUCAACCAGGGUUUCGGGUUGCCAAGGGCCUGGAGGGUCUCUUACUGAACGCGUUACUUUUCCAAGUCGCCCUCUGGAAUGAGUACAGGUACAAAGGGUCACUGAUAAAGAUCUCCUCCCAGAUCUAGACAGCUCACCUUUCAAACAUUUCUCAACCCCACCACCCACAACUCUCUUCAAGUCUGAUUUUGCCCUUAGUUUCCUCUGAAACCCAGCAGCGUGCUGACUGACCCUCAUGAGACAUGACCUGCUUAACCGACAGAGGGACAAGAUUAGAACUGGACUGUUCCGCAUCAUCCUAGUCUGUGUUCCAGAAUUUUCCUGGAACCGGAGUCCCAACAAUUCCAGAAAUUACAGAGCAGGUAUAAGCACAGAAGUGUCUGUCUCCUCUCCUCCUCGUCCUUGUCCAUGUUGUAUAAUUCCCCUCACCUUGUAAUGCUCUUCCUGUUGUAGUUUUGUAUGAGAAAAGCCAGGCAAGGGACACAAUGAACACAAAAAUGCUCGGCACUAAAUUUAGCUAAUAUUCGGUGGUGGGUUAACUUUAUCGUUUUGGAGGUUUUGUUUUGGAGUUUGUUUUUUGCUGUUUUGUUUUGUUUGAGAAAGGAUCUCUAGCUCUCUUAGGUCCCAUUGAAACUCUAUAUAUGGCUCAGGCUGACCUCCAACUUUUUUCUAUUGCCGCAGCCUAUCCCAGAGUAUGUGCAAUCGUGCCUGGCUCAAGCCUUAUCUUUUGAUGGGCACCCGACGGGCUCAAACCAUUUUUUCAGGACGUUCUACGCGCAGUGCAGAGUUAAAAAGACCACUUGGAAGCCCGGGAAAUCCUUUUAUUGGAUUAAGAGCCCAUCGAGUCCUGGAAGAACGGUUUAAAUUUGAGGUGAUGCAAAACCCAUGUCAACAGUAAAUGACUAUUUAACUUCCUUAAAAAGUACACCGAUACAAUGAAGGAUGAACAGUCCUGUUUAAUUAAAACCUGUCUACUGGCCUGGUGAGAUGGUAAAGACACUUGCCUCCAAGCUUAGUGACCUCAGUUUGAUCCCUGGGACCCACAUGGUAGCAGGGAAGAACCAACUCCAGCCAAGUCCUCCUCCGACCUCACAUGUACUGCAGCGAGUGCAUGCCCGUGUAUGUGUGCCAAAACAAAUGAAUAAGGAAUUUAAAAAUCUGCCCAGAAAAGCAACUACCUCAGUACUCCCUUAACUCAGAAAUGUCUCCCAUAAAGAUUAUGGUUUUAACAUGGAAAUAAAAUAUCAAGUUAAACUAUCAUCUGAUUGCAUAGGAGAAGUGAACUCAGUAAUCCUGGAUAUUUUGGGGGCGCAUUUUAAUAAGCUGUGAAGAGUUCAAAUGUUUAAACCAAAGACCCAUAACUAGCCCUAACAUGGCGGCUGUUGUGCUGCAGUUUUGAGAAGGAACAACAAAAGCUGGCACUACAGUUAUUCUUCCACUUUUUUCCUUCCAGGGCCACGUGAAAGGGGAAAAAAAAAAAAGGCACUGGCAACUUAUCUCGUAGUCAUCUGACUCACUCUUCUUGGCUGGUCACAUGUAUUUCUCCUCAAUGGAGAUAGUGGAUAUUUUAAAUGUAUUACUCUGCAGAAUUAAGGCUACUAGGAAAAAACAAACAAACAAAAAAGCAAAACCAGCCUCCCUACUGCACAGCCAGAAGGGAGAGGGGACUGCAUUUUUUGAUAAGCCCAGAGAAAAUGAAAAUAUAUGAGUUACACAGUCAAAACGAAUGAACAUGAGAGCCUUGUUAAGGUGCUAAGAAAACCUCAGGAGAAAAACACAGCCAUCUGAGUGUGCUCAGCUUCAUCAUAGGACACCUGCUUUGCAUUCUCAGCCUCUCCAAUGUCAGGGAGAUACUGCCAUAAUUGACUUUGAUCCCCCUGAAACUGUAAGCCCAAAAGUGAGUUCUUUCUUCCAUAAAUUGCUUUUGAGCAUUGUGUUUUAUCACAGCAACAGCUAAGCAACUAAUACAGAAGUUGGUACUAGAGUGGGCCAAAGCUGUGUAGCACUUGACUGUGUUGCUUUGAAGAGGAAGGUGGGAGACUGUGGAGAUCUGGACUAGAACACCAUCUGAAUACUUUUGGCAGAACUAAAAAGGUAACCCUAAGGGAAGCCUGAAAGAUAACCAUACUGAGAGCAAUGAGGACUGUGGAGACCCAGAGCAAAAGGUUUCAGAGAGGAACACGACCAGCCAUUGGGCUCCAAGCCCUUGUGAUAUUUGGGCAAAGAAUCUAAUGGCCCUAGGCUUUGAUCCUAAGAACUUACCUAAGGGGAAAUUUUUAAAGUAACAGAAUAAUCUCUAUAGUGAAUAAAAUUUCAAGACCACAUAACAUUGAGUCUGUGGCAUGGUUUUUAUUGAUAAUGCUUCGGAUCUAUGAUGGAAAAGAGACAGAAAGAAAAAAAUGGACAUUUUGGUGAGAUAAGGAGCAUUGGGAAUCUUACUGCCCACAUUGAAAUGGAGGCUAUAAUUGCUCAGGAGUCAAGCACCAUUAAGGAGAGACCUGCUCAACACUGGAAUGUGGUUAACACUCUGCCCAGCUAAGCCUCUAGAUUCUGAAAGGAAAAAGACUAAGAGGUGGCUAGCCAAACUUAGCAGAUGUCUCAAUAUGAUGUUAUCUUAGAUGCAUGAAGGAGACCAAGCCCGUUCAUAGACUCUUCUUCCUGGGUCUCAGGGAGUUGCUGGGGCCAAGAAAUGUGUGGAAGAGGGGUCACUACAUGAAGACUUUGAGAAGGCAAGAGGCUCUAAGAAAGCAUUGCAGGAAACUGUGAAAGUAAAGCUCUUGCAGUAAGAUCUCAAAUUUUUGGUGAUUCAGCAGCCACGGCUUACCUGCUGUGACAAGUUAUGUUUUAAUUACUGUGCCUAGAGAGAUCCAUGAAAC